UCGGGAAUUUUGGGCAAUGGGGGAAACCCUGACCCAGCAACGCCGCGUGAAGGAUGAAGUAUUUCGGUAUGUAAACUUCGAAAGAAUAGGAAGAAUAAAUGACGGUACUAUUUAUAAGGUCCGGCUAACUACGUGCCAGCAGCCGCGGUAAUACGUAGGGACCAAGCGUUGUUCGGAUUUACUGGGCGUAAAGGGCGCGUAGGCGGCAUGACAAGUCACUUGUGAAAUCUCUGGGCUUAACCCAGAACGGCCAAGUGAUACUGUCGCGCUAGAGUGCAGAAGGGGCAAUCGGAAUUCUUGGUGUAGCGGUGAAAUGCGUAGAUAUCAAGAGGAACACCUGAGGUGAAGACGGGUUGCUGGGCUGACACUGACGCUGAGGCGCGAAAGCCAGGGGAGCAAACGGGAUUAGAUACCCAAGUAUUCCCUGAGCGGGCUGGCAAGGCGCAU
RNAcentral lists this ribosomal RNA (447 nucleotides) under uncultured bacterium. RNAcentral describes it as "bacterial SSU rRNA". It matches the Rfam family "Bacterial small subunit ribosomal RNA", at positions 355 to 825 of the family's 1533-position model. The record is from RNAcentral.